Molecule: long non-coding RNA, 1151 nt
Organism: Odontomachus brunneus
Lineage: Eukaryota; Metazoa; Arthropoda; Insecta; Hymenoptera; Formicidae
Exons: 2
Source: RefSeq, a predicted model, not a curated record
GUCUACUUAACACUCGCAAAACCGCGAGCGUCAUUCUAUCUUUGUUGCUCGAGGCGUUGCGAGAGUUAAGUAGACCAAACUAAUCAACCAAACGCUACCAUGAUCACGAAACGAAAAAACGCCUCUGUUGGCCGUUGCAUCGACUCCUUUUGUUUCGUUUGUUCAACAGUUUAAUCGUAGUCAAUAAACUGUCUAAGGAUAUGCGGGCUCGAUAGAAGAAGUUAUGUUCAAAGUCAACUUCCUGACAUAUACCUAAUCCUAGACACAAUGUUGUUAUUAUUUUAGUCUUCAAAUACAAAUAUAUUCAAACAUUCAGCGUGAAACAUGAUAUGUAUCUUAUAUUGUUAUAUAUCAUGUUAGAAUAUUUUAUGUUGAAAGUUUAAACACUGAAGGCCGGUUUUUUCAAUGAUAGUUUAAACUUGGAUUCUAGUUUAGCUUCUAACAAUGCUUUUAUUUUAUUUGAACAGAGUUUAAGUUGAAAUCUAAGUUUAAACUAUCAUUGAAAAACUGCCCCUUAAAGACCAAAAAUAAUGAGAACGUUCAGAAGUAGUCACGUGACAUUGAUAAUUUUACAUUGUGCGUCAAUUAAUUUCGAUAACGAUCGGCGGGCAACUCGUCGCGACAUUCAACCCAUUAGACAUAGUUGUGAAGAAGAAAGUUAAUCAAUAUAAGUACAUAAAUUAGUUAGCAUUAAAUGGCUAGCCUCGGGGUCUCAAGUGACAUAUACUCAGCACGAUUUUUACACCAAGACUAUAAAUGAAUUUAAUCUCUAUAAUAAGCAACAUAGGGUGGUUGGCUCUGUCCAGGAAACGAUUGAUCUUAAAUUGGCAUGGAUAGAAAACUGAAAAACGCAACACGAGUAUCGCAUCUAUUCGUUCAAUGAAACGCUGAGGAUUACACUCAGUGACCUCAAUUUGAUAACGGGCAAAAUUACACGGAGGAUGUAUUUAUAAUUCGUUUUUAAAAUAUUGUUGACAUGCAGUAUUAAACUGCAUAAAGUGUUACGAUUAUUAUAACUACAAAAACACGAUAUAUAUUUCUUACUCUUUUGUGUCCAUCAAUGACUUAUUGCUGGUAUAGAUAACAAUAUACAACCUUUGUUUUGUUGUUAUUUUUUCUUUAAUAAAAUUUAUAAUUUUGCUGCCCGAUAA